This 210-nucleotide ribosomal RNA is filed under the name uncultured bacterium. RNAcentral describes it as "partial 16S ribosomal RNA". It matches the Rfam family "Bacterial small subunit ribosomal RNA", at positions 524 to 733 of the family's 1533-position model. The record is from RNAcentral.
UACGUAGGGUGCAAGCGUUAAUCGGAAUUACUGGGCGUAAAGCGUGCGCAGGCGGUUAUGUAAGACAGUUGUGAAAUCCCCGGGCUCAACCUGGGAACUGCAUCUGUGACUGCAUAGCUAGAGUACGGUAGAGGGGGAUGGAAUUCCGCGUGUAGCAGUGAAAUGCGUAGAUAUGCGGAGGAACACCGAUGGCGAAGGCAAUCCCCCUGG